RNAcentral lists this ribosomal RNA (500 nucleotides) under uncultured bacterium. RNAcentral's name for it is "partial 16S ribosomal RNA". It matches the Rfam family "Bacterial small subunit ribosomal RNA", at positions 30 to 523 of the family's 1533-position model. The record is from RNAcentral.
AUUGAACGCUGGCGGAAUGCUUUACACAUGCAAGUCGAACGGCAGCACGGGGGCAACCCUGGUGGCGAGUGGCGAACGGGUGAGUAAUACAUCGGAACGUGCCCAGUCGUGGGGGAUAACGUAGCGAAAGUUACGCUAAUACCGCAUACGAUCUACGGAUGAAAGCGGGGGACCGUAAGGCCUCGCGAGAUUGGAGCGGCCGAUGUCAGAGUAUGUAGUUGGUGAGAGAAAGGCUCACUAAGACGACGAUCUGUAGCUGGUCUGAGAGGACGACCAGCCACACUGGGACUGAGACACGGCCCAGACUCCUACGGGAGGCAGCAGUGGGGAAUUUUGGACAAUGGGCGCAAGCCUGAUCCAGCCAUUCCGCGUGCAGGACGAAGGCCUUCGGGUUGUAAACUGCUUUUGUACGGAACGAAAAGGCUCUGGUUAAUACCUGGGGCUCAUGACGGUACCGCAAGAAUAAGCACCGGCUAACUACGUGCCAGCAGCCGCAGUAA